CUUAUUUUUCGGUCUUUUGGCUAAGAUCAAGUGUAACAUUUGUUUUACCAGUUUAAUAUAUGGUAUAUGAACAAUAUGUUCACUUUGACAUUAAAUUCAUUUUAUGAUUA
Molecule: small nuclear RNA, 110 nt
Filed under: Zea mays
Lineage: Eukaryota; Viridiplantae; Streptophyta; Magnoliopsida; Poales; Poaceae
Description: U2 spliceosomal RNA
Rfam family: U2 spliceosomal RNA
About the family: U2 is a small nuclear RNA (snRNA) component of the spliceosome (involved in pre-mRNA splicing). Complementary binding between U2 snRNA (in an area lying towards the 5' end but 3' to hairpin I) and the branchpoint sequence (BPS) of the intron results the bulging out of an unpaired adenosine, on the BPS, which initiates a nucleophilic attack at the intronic 5' splice site, thus starting the first of two transesterification reactions that mediate splicing.
Source: Rfam by way of RNAcentral